Molecule: ribosomal RNA, 497 nt
Filed under: uncultured bacterium
Lineage: Bacteria
Description: partial 16S ribosomal RNA
Rfam family: Bacterial small subunit ribosomal RNA
Source: RNAcentral
GAUGAACGCUGGCGGCGUGCCUAAUACAUGCAAGUCGAGCGAACAGAUGAGGAUCUUGCUUCUCUUACGUUAGCGGCGGACGGGUGAUUAACACGUGGCUAACCUACCUAUAAGACUAGGAUAACUUCAGGAAACCGGAUCUAAUACCGGAUCAUAUAUUGAACCUCAUGGUUCUAUAGUGCACGACGUUUUUGCUGUCCCUUAUAGAUGGUUCCGCGCCGCAUUAGCUAGGUGGUAAGGGAACGGCUUACCAAGGCAACGAUGCGUAGCCGACCUGAGAGGGAGGACGGCACAAACGGAAAGUAGAACAGGGUCAGAAUCCCAAGGGAGGCAGGAGGAGGGAAACUUCGGAAAUGGGCGAAAGGCUGAAGGAGCAAAGGCGGGGGAUGGAAGAAGGUAUUUGGAUCGUAAAACUCUGUUAUGAGGGAAGAACAAAUGUGUAAGUAACUAUGCACGGCUUGAAGGUACCUAAUCAGAAAACCACGGCUAAAUACGGG